CCUGCAGCAGGUCGGACCGCGCCGGCUCGGCCCCGGCCUCCGCCAGCCGUUCGAGCCGGUCCAGCAGGAC
This 70-nucleotide transfer RNA is filed under the name Actinomadura livida. Its description in RNAcentral is "tRNA-Pro". The record is from RNAcentral. Lineage: Bacteria; Bacillati; Actinomycetota; Actinomycetes; Streptosporangiales; Thermomonosporaceae.